AAAUAAGUGAUAUAUCAAAAUGUAUUACGAGGAAAGCACGUAUUGAUUGAUGCUCGUCAAAAACUGGGAAUCCCAUAGGGAAACACC
Long non-coding RNA from Rhagoletis pomonella (apple maggot), 87 nucleotides. RefSeq lists it as uncharacterized. The transcript is spliced from 2 exons. The record is from RefSeq and is a predicted model, not a curated record. Lineage: Eukaryota; Metazoa; Arthropoda; Insecta; Diptera; Tephritidae.